GCAUAUCAAUAAGCGGAGGAAAAGAAACCAACAGGGAUUGCUCUAGUAACGGCGAGUGAAGCAGCAAUAGCUCAAAUUUGAAAUCUGGCGUCUUCGACGUCCGAGUUGUAAUUUGUAGAGGAUGCUUCUGAGUGGCCACCGACCUAAGUUCCUUGGAACAGGACGUCAUAGAGGGUGAGAAUCCCGUAUGCGGUCGGAAAGGCGCUCUAUACGUAGCUCCUUCGACGAGUCGAGUUGUUUGGGAAUGCAGCUCUAAAUGGGAGGUAAAUUUCUUCUAAAGCUAAAUAUUGGCCAGAGACCGAUAGCGCACAAGUAGAGUGAUCGAAAGAUGAAAAGCACUUUGGAAAGAGAGUUAAAAAGCACGUGAAAUUGUUAAAAGGGAAGGGAUUGCAACCAGACUUGCUCGCGGUGUUCCGCCGGUCUUCUGACCGGUCUACUCGCCGCGUUGCAGGCCAGCAUCGUCUGGUGCCGCUGGAUAAGACUUGAGGAAUGUAGCUCCCUCGGGAGUGUUAUAGCCUCUUGUGAUGCAGCGAGCGCCGGGCGAGGUCCGCGCUUCGGCUAGGAUGCUGGCGUAAUGGUCGUAAUCCGCCCGUCUUGAAACACGGACCAAGGAGUCUAACAUCUAUGCGAGUGUUCGGGUGUCAAACCCCUACGCGUAAUGAAAGUGAACGGAGGUGAGAACCGCAAGGUGCAUCAUCGACCGAUCCUGAUGUCUUCGGAUGGAUUUGAGUAAGAGCAUAGCUGUUGGGACCCGAAAGAUGGUGAACUAUGCCUGAAUAGGGUGAAGCCAGAGGAAACUCUGGUGGAGGCUCGCAGCGGUUCUGACGUGCAAAUCGAUCGUCAAAUUUGGGUAUAGGGGCGAAAGACUAAUCGAACCAUCUAGUAGCUGGUUCCUGCCGAU
RNAcentral lists this ribosomal RNA (901 nucleotides) under Cladosporium herbarum. Its description in RNAcentral is "LSU rRNA". It matches the Rfam family "Eukaryotic large subunit ribosomal RNA", at positions 38 to 965 of the family's 3401-position model. Lineage: Eukaryota; Fungi; Ascomycota; Dothideomycetes; Cladosporiales; Cladosporiaceae. The record is from RNAcentral.